AUACGUAGGGUGCGAGCGUUGUCCGGAAUUACUGGGCGUAAAGAGCUCGUAGGUGGUUUGUCGCGUCGUCUGUGAAAUUCCGGGGCUUAACUCCGGGCGUGCAGGCGAUACGGGCAUAACUUGAGUACUGUAGGGGAGACUGGAAUUCCUGGUGUAGCGGUGAAAUGCGCAGAUAUCAGGAGGAACGCCGGUGGCGAAGGCGGUUCUCUGGGAAGUAACUGACGCGGGGGAGGGAAAGCAGGGGUAGCGAACAGGAUUAGAUACCCUGGUAGUCCAUGCCGUAAACGGUGGGCGCUAGGUGUAGGGGUCUUCCACGACUUCUGUGCCGUAGCUAACGCAUUAAGCGCCCCGCCUGGGGAGUACGGCCGCAAGGCUAAAACUCAAAUGAAUUGACGGGG
Molecule: ribosomal RNA, 398 nt
Filed under: uncultured bacterium
Lineage: Bacteria
Description: partial 16S ribosomal RNA
Rfam family: Bacterial small subunit ribosomal RNA
Source: RNAcentral